RNAcentral lists this long non-coding RNA (342 nucleotides) under Elaeis guineensis (African oil palm). RNAcentral's name for it is "long non-coding RNA (EGUI_LNC068031)". Lineage: Eukaryota; Viridiplantae; Streptophyta; Magnoliopsida; Arecales; Arecaceae. The record is from RNAcentral.
CUACGUGCUCCAAUAUAAUUCGGUGGUGUACUCCACAUUAAUUUUAUUGCACCAUAUAUCGUGCACAAAGGCUUUCUCAUUUAAUUUGAAGGACUUGAACCGGGCAUUGCUGGGUAAAUGGAUUUGGAGGGUUGUCAUGCCGGAAUGUAAUGCAAAUGGAGCCCAACCAUGGUGUAAGGUCCAAAUAUUAGACGUCAGAGGCCUCUUUUUCGGAACGAAUUGCAGGUUGUGAGAACAUUCUUCUCCCCUGCUUGGGCGUUCUGUGGGGAUUUCAAUAUGACCCAUUUCUCCAAUGACAGGAAACGUCAAGCUGGUAUCAAGAAGGAUAUGAUUGCUCGCCUC